GCCUUUUUUUUCCUUGCUCCUUUCUUCACACCAGUUAGGGAGUUCUGGAACUCACUAUUAUUCUAUGGAACAAGUUAACAUGAAAAUGAAUACUGCCUGAAGACUGACCAGUACUUUCUGAAAGCUUUCUCAUUGACGGUAUGGCGAUAUUUGCUUCUGUCGGGGUUCAGAAGCCACUAAGAGAGGGCCAUGAGAUAGACAUAUUAAAGGACACAAGGCCAACUUCAAAACCAAGGCUUACAUUUUGCAUAGUGAGUUCCGGUGCCCUGUGUGACCAGAAACAGGAUCUUCAUCGCUCAAGGAUGCACUUCCAUUUCCUGCUCCGCCUAGGAGAGAGCUGAGUGGCCCAGGGCGUCUCCCAACUAAGGCAGUGUGGGAGCUGUGGGGUGUUUCACCAAUCCAAACAGUACUACAGGAUGAAGGAGUGCAGGGCUGAAUGGAUGGAUGAAGGGAAGGAGUCUGGAAGAGAGAAGCAGGGAGGUCAGGAGAUCCUCUGAUAAACUUCCUGGGCUACGACGGAUGUCCACCUGCGGAUUGGAAACUCAUGGCUGAUUCUUCCCUGUAACUCAGUCAAUGAACAAAGAGACCUGCCAUCAUGCCAGUCCCAGGGCAAGCCAUUUGUCCACCUCUCUGACUUCUGUCCAGCCUCAAAGUUAAAAAAGAAAAGCAGCCUUGUGUUCAGACUUGUCCCUCAUAUUCAUUUCCA
Long non-coding RNA from Psammomys obesus (fat sand rat), 706 nucleotides. RefSeq lists it as uncharacterized. The record is from RefSeq and is a predicted model, not a curated record. The transcript is spliced from 3 exons. Lineage: Eukaryota; Metazoa; Chordata; Mammalia; Rodentia; Muridae.